This is a long non-coding RNA of Myotis daubentonii (Daubenton's bat), 5076 nucleotides long. RefSeq lists it as uncharacterized. The record is from RefSeq and is a predicted model, not a curated record. Lineage: Eukaryota; Metazoa; Chordata; Mammalia; Chiroptera; Vespertilionidae.
GGUAACACGGAGGGUAUAAAUUGUGGCUGGGCUCUGUGUGUGCAUUCACAUCAAAAGCCAAAAUGAAGACAUGCACAGUCUUUGUUCUAGUGGCUUUCAUCACCGUGGGGAUGGAGAUGGCCUGUGGUGACCCUCUGAGACCUCCUGUCCAAGAGCAACGAAGACCUGGAGUCUGCCCGAAGGUGCCCAAAGAAAUCAUUGGGCCUUGUUUUGAUAGAUGCACAGGAGAUGCAUCAUGUCCCAAGCGAAUGAAAUGCUGCGUCCAUGGAUGUGGUCGUGUCUGCAAAACUGCUCUCCCUGCAAAGGGUGGCUUUGAUGGCCAAGUGAAAGAUGGACAAGGUGUUUAUUAAGCGUGCCUGGAGACCAGCCCCAGAAGAUUUCUCAUGAAUCUGAUGCUUGGCUAACAAGACUCUUCUACAAACCAUUCCUGGCUAUUCUCUAUCCCUGGACUUGCAGCUCUAGAAGAUGAAGAUCUAAAGUGGUGGAACGACCACUUCUAAAGAGCUUAUGUCCAAAAUAAACCUUUUCUGUGGCAUUAUUCAGGCUCUGUCAUUCUUCCCAUUUAGGCAUUCUAGUGGACCCUCUGUGGAUGGGCAGGACCAUAUGUGUGUCCUGCACUGAGCCCAUGAAUGCAAGGUACUCAUGAAAGAUCAGAGGCAAGAUCCUUCCAGCUAGGUCCUUUCCUCCUUCCAUGCCCAUGUCUCUAGACAGGGAAAAGGGCAUAAUAAUAUUUUCUCAAUCAUUCUGUGAAUAAAAAUGACCUUCUAGCACUUAGCAAGCCCAUUGGAGCAGGACUGGAUGCCUAACCCCAGGAGAGCAACCCCAGCCCUUGGGAUGUGGGACUUUGAGUGGCAAAGACUGGUAAGUGCCAGCUCCUGCCCUGGAGUGGCUAGGAGUUAGGGUACAGUUAGGACAGAGGCCCUGUGGGUGGAGUCUUUGAUUCAGAGUUUUCCUGAGGCAGAGGAUAAACCUAGGUCUCCCAGAGAAGCCUUGACAAAAACUAUGGUCUGAGCUGACCGCUACAAGCUCCAUCUCCCAGCGCUCUCUGUUCACUUUCCCACCUUGAUUCCCCCCACUUAGCCUGCCGAGUUUGGCAGGCUCCCAUAUCAACUUGUCCCUGUCCAUCACACUGCUGUUGCUUCUCCAUAGCACAUCUUAUAACCCCAGUGGCCCAUGGCCUCACCAGUCUGUACAUUGGAAUGAGCAUAUUAGCAUCAGUAUCUUCUUUUACUGGUUGGCCAUCUACGUCCCAAACCCCAGCAUGCUUUAGUCACUCUUGGUCAUUUAUGGGGGUUCAUAGACACCUCUAACAUGGUCUCAAACCAUUUCACCUAUUGUCUGCCAUUCUGAAUGCCAAAGAUACUUGAGGAUGGCAUCCUACAACUUCCACUUACGUUUCUGCCCUGUAGAUGUCCUGAAUUCCCUAGAAAGUUGUUCGUGCUCUUUUGUGAGCUGCUCAUUUUUUUUCUCGCCUGCAUUCCAACCACCUUUAUAUUUUGGAGAAAACUCUUAUUUCUCCUUAUGGAAAUUGACAAGGGCCAGACAGUCUCACCCUGCUUCCUAGCAGGUAGGGUUUGGAGUUAGGAUGCUAUGUUCUGAUGAUGUGGAUUGAUCGGGAGUGACACUUAAGACUUAUGAAUUGUCAACACCAAUUCACAACGGCAGAGGUGCCAGGGACAGCAUCCUCACCAGAUUUGCCACGGGCUGGACUUGGCUAUGUCCUCUUCUACCUGCUGUAUUUAGGUUCUUGAUAUUUUUCCCAAGCCUGGUUCACCAGUCUUCCCUACUGUUUCUGUGAGCUGUAUAAUAAUGUCUUUCCAGAAUUCCUGCUCUCUCAAGUUGGACAGAAUUGGCUUUUUUGUUUGCAUCCAAGAACAUUCACUUGUACAGAAAUGGGUGUCAGGAGUGGACACGGGCCAAAAAUACUCAGGGGGAUGGCAGGAGUCUGGGUUUUAUGAACUGGUCUAGUUAGAAGCCCCCUUGUUCACAUGCCUAUGCUCUCCUAUUCACGUGGCCCACCCCCUUGAGACCUUGGAUGGUCUCUGUUUUGGGGAGCCACCUCCAUGGUUGGCAGAGCUACAAAUGGAACCCUGGGUUGCUCACAGCCUGUGUUUCUUUACCCGUGACCUCUGGCUAAGCGCCCCUCACCCUGUGGCCAUUUGCUCUAAUGGGCUUCUCCUUUCCCCCGACCUCCCUCUCCCACCUUCAGUGGACAGGGGUCUGUCAUUGCACCUGUGCCUCUGGGCGGCUGCUGGGUGCCUCCUCGUACAAGACCCUGAUGCCACCCCACCUCUGUGGCAGCAUCUCUCAUUCCCUGGAGACCCCAUUCAGUGCUCCCCUGCAGCUCCAAGGACCUGCUGAGCCCAGGUCCCAGCCUGUCACUAGUUCCCCAAGUCCUGCCUGCAGCCCCAGGAUCCUCAAGGCAGUCUGAGAGGAGGAUUAAUCCCUUAUACAGAGGGGUGCAGACACCAGGUGGGCACUCCCCUCGGCUCCCCUCUCUGGCCCCUCAGAAAUGCCUUGAGCACCAAGUCUGUGCUGAUGUCCAGCUCCUGGAGGGCUCGGCCUACGCACUGCAGCCACCAGAGAGGACCCAUCUGCGGAGUGGCAGGUGGAAUAGGCCUCCCAGGGCAGCUGGAUGCCCACCUGGCCCCAAAGCCAUUCUUCAGCCUCCCACUUACCUCUUCUGAAGGGUAACCAGGUGUGGCUUCCACCCAGCCCAGCUACCUGCCUUGGGAGGCAGCAGAGACUGUCACCCUCUGCUGGCCAAUUCCUGUUACUGCAGAAGGAGGUAAAGUGGCCUCAGCGUGGGCAGAGCAGCAGAGAGGAGCCAGUUACUCAGAGGGCAGAUGCUCCAUGGAAGCCUCCAGCACAAGCAGUCAACCCCUAAAGCCUCCAACAGAUCCCCAUGUGAGUGAAAGUGUGAAUGCCUUCCAGAAUUUCUCCCAGAACUUGUACCUAGAGUUCAGAGAGUGGAAGGGAGGAGAGAGACACACAGAGAGAAACAUAGAGGUGAGACUCUCUCUCACCUCUGAGCCCUGACCAGGGCCGGGGAUCAAGCCUGCAACUGAGAUACGUGCCAGUGACUGGAAUCAAACGCAGGGCCCUUCAGUCCGAGAGCCAACAUUCUAUCCACCGAGCCAAACUGGCCAGGAGGAAAGUAAGUCCUUUGGACACGAAUCACACCACCACCCUUCCCGCACUUCAGAUAUCGACCUCUACCCUACUUAGAUGCGGCAGUCCUUGGAAAAACCCAGAACAGAAACUUCCCUGCCAGGUGAAGAGUUUCUCACUGGAGUGGCUUCAGGAAAUGCAAAUCGAAUGUCUGUAGUGGUAUUUAAAGACAUUCAGGGUUUCGAUGUGUGUUACACUGAAAAUAUGAAUAAAUGUCUUUUGGGAUGUAUUUACAUGUACUAAUAUUGUUAUUAAGAUAAUGGUAUAAUUUUUAUAAUUCUUUGCCCUUCAAAUCAGCUUCUAUUUGUACAGAAAGAAUACAAGCAUUAGACUGGGGACCAUGGCAACCAGGUUCUAGCUGCCAUUCCAUCUCAAAUUCUCUGGGAGUCCUCAGUUACUUCCUUCUUUGACUCUGGGCCUCCACAUUGUAAACUGAGGAGUUUGGACCACGUGGUCCAGCUCUCUAGUUCUGAGGCUGCAACUCAGUGGAGUUUGGAAACACCACUUCCCUUCCAGGAUUUUAUUGUAAGCAAAUGGGAGGUGUUUUUACCAUGUAAAAUGCAUAGGACUCUACAGUUGGUUUGGCCUACCAAACCCACAAACUUAGGGCCACAGUUGGAGAGAACUCAAGUCUUUGUUUGAAAUAGCUGUCCCUGUUCCAACCGAGAGAAAUAUUUAAACUCAUCAAGUAUCAUUGGCCGUGGUGAAUGUGUGAAAUGCAACACUAUACAGAGAAAUCUCUCUGUGUUUACAACCAUACAUAUUUGCACUGAAAGAGUCCUAAGCAAAGAUGCAGGCCCAGAGAGGUCAAGCAACUUUCCCAAGAUUACACAGGCAGCAGGAGGGAAUGGAGACCAACAUGUAGGUCUCCUCACUCCCAGCCUGGUCAGAACUGCUGCAUGUGCCAGAGUUAGAAAAGCUCACCUUUUGGACUUGUCUGUCCAUAUUUGCCUGUACCCUUCCCAGGAAAUAGAAAUGUUGAAUUUUAUAUUUUAGAGUUGGAUCUUAUUGAAGUUUACUAGAGAAAUGACAACUGAUGAAACACGCACAGUCGCCUAAUCUCUAGGACAGUUUCACAAAAGGAAUGAUGAAGGGUCUUUGUUCAAAGCUGCCCCUGCCUCUUCAUCAGCAGCAGAGUAACCGGGAGGCAAGAGAAGGAAAGGGGGCUCCCAGACUCCCUAGGAACUGAGCAGAAGCAGCCUCAGCUGGAUAGGUCUGUGUGGACUUCCUAAAUUUGCACCAGAACAGGGUCCUGGUGUGCUGAUGGAGCUUGGGCCUACGGAAAACAAGGUGGUAUUGGAGUAAGAAAAUGACAAAACAAAUCUGAGUAUGUCUCACAGUGUCCCCUGACCUUGCAUCUUUGGGGAAGGUACUCCCAUUGCUAGCAUUCUCAAAUGCCUGAGCCGCCAUACACUUGUUACCCAAAGUCAGACCUUAUAUACAAAGUGCCACACUUCUGCUCAAAUGCACUUGAAUUCGGGGGUCAUGUCUAUACAUGUCUCCUAGGGAGCGAGGGCAGGGUCUGGAGGCAAGGCAAGGAACUGUCAGCUGAAGCUAAGAGAAGUUAGCGUGGCAUGGUGGAAAUGGCGAGGAACCAGAAGAGCCAAGUUUCACUACCAUCCAGCUGUAUGACUUCAGGCAGGAAACCUAUCUUCUCUGUUUCCUCACCUGUGAGAAGGGGAGAAUCCCAUCUCCUGAAAGCACUGUUGAAGGGAUGAAAGGAGAAGACAGAUCUAUAGUUCCCUUUCUCUGUCCCUUUCCUUAGCAGGAUCUACAUGAGAGAUGCUACCAUGUACUGACCACCUACGAGAUGCCAGGCACCUACUAGCUCAUCAUCACACUUGAAAGCGUUUUCACAAAUGUCAGCUAUGGAAAGAUGUGGUACUCAAGGUGGCCUCUAGGAAC